UACGGAGGGGGCUAGCGUUGUUCGGAAUUAUUGGGCGUAAAGGGCGCGUAGGCGGCCUGACAAGUGGAAGGUGAAAUCCCCAGGCUUAACCUGGGAACUGCAUCCGAUACUGGAUGGCUUGAAUCCGGGAGAGGGAUGCAGAAUUCCAGGUGUAGCGGUGAAAUGCGUAGAUAUUGGGAGGAACACCAGUGGCGAAGGCGGGUCUCUGGGCCGAUACUGACGCUGAGGAGCGAAAGCGUGGGGAGCGAACAGG
RNAcentral lists this ribosomal RNA (253 nucleotides) under uncultured bacterium. Its description in RNAcentral is "partial 16S ribosomal RNA". It matches the Rfam family "Bacterial small subunit ribosomal RNA", at positions 524 to 776 of the family's 1533-position model. The record is from RNAcentral.